GACGAACGCUGGCGGCGCGCCUAACACAUGCAAGUCGAACGGUUCUGAUUGCGAGACUAAGCUAAUUGGUGGUUCAUAUUGGCUUGGUCUUGUAAUCAGGAUAGUGGCGGACGGGUGAGUAACACGUGAGCAACCUGCCUAACGGAAUGGGAUAGCGUUUGGAAACGAACGGUAAUACCGUAUAACAUAUGCAGUGCGCAUGCACAGCAUAUCAAAGGAGCAAUCCGCCGUUAGAUGGGCUCGCGGCCAAUUAGGUAGUUGGUGGGGUAACGGCCCACCAAGCCGACGAUUGGUAGCCGGACUGAGAGGUUGAUCGGCCACAUUGGGACUGAGACACGGCCCAGACUCCUACGGGAGGCAGCAGUGGGGGAUAUUGCACAAUGGAGGAAACUCUGAUGCAGCGACGCCGCGUGAGGGAAGACGGUCUUCGGAUUGUAAACCUCUGUCUUAGGGGAAGAGUAAAAGACGGUACCCUAGGAGGAAGCCACGGCUAACUACGUGCCAGCAGCCGCAGUAAAAC
Molecule: ribosomal RNA, 520 nt
Filed under: uncultured bacterium
Lineage: Bacteria
Description: bacterial SSU rRNA
Rfam family: Bacterial small subunit ribosomal RNA
Source: RNAcentral